UAUGGUCCCGGAAUCAAUCAG
Molecule: non-coding RNA, 21 nt
Filed under: Caenorhabditis elegans
Lineage: Eukaryota; Metazoa; Nematoda; Chromadorea; Rhabditida; Rhabditidae
Source: RNAcentral